AGCCACCCGCCUGGCCUCCCAAAGUGCUGGGAUAGCAGGUGUGAGCCACUGUGCCUGGCCAUAAGUUGAAAGUUGAGAAUCACAGCACCUUUCAGGGAAGGGAUAGAUUUUUUGAUAACUUGUGUGUUUAAGGAAAUAAUAUAUUUAAUAAACUCACAUGCAAAAAUAACAUCUGUUAUCACUGAUUGGGGAAAUUUAGUAGAAAUGCAAAAAUUGAAAUGACAUUAAUUUGGCCACAUUGGAGAGGCUCGGCAGAAGAGAUUCAUGUUUAUAUACUUUAAAAUGUAAAUAGUGCUCAUCAGGGGACAUAGCCUCACUUCACAUAACGUGUUUUCAGAUAAACAAGUGGGGGAAAUUUCCACUAAUCCUAUAGGGGCAUAAUUAAAAAUAAUUAGGCAGAAAAAAAUCCCCUCACUUAUUUUAUUUUAAAACUUCAAGAAAAAGACAGAGAUAGAUUUUGCAUUUUCAGAAAAUGGUGAGUGUGUAGUACAGGCUUGAGAUCGAAAGUCCCCAGUGAUGUAAGCUUCCUUCUUCAUGUAUACCUGCCAAUUUACUUUAAAAAAAAUGCUUACAAUGGACUGUCUCCAGGGAAGAGAAGGGUAUGCGCUUAAUGACUCAGUCCUUGGCAACCAUUAAUAAGUAUGCUAGUUAGAGGCAAUCAAAGAGCAUAAUAUGCAUACUGCAAACCCAGGAAAAUACUAGUUUGGAAAGAUAAAUAAUAGACAGACAGACAGAAAGAUAGACAUCUUAUGGUGAAAUGAAAAAGUAAGUAGAAUGGCAAUCACCCUGGCUUUUGCUGCAGUAACAAAUAAUAACCAAAUCUCAGUGCAAACACAUGUAUUUAUUGCUCACAUUAUAGGAGGGGAGUAGGUUGUUUGGGUUUGUGCCAACCGUGGCUAGGCUCUAUGUCUUCUUAAUCUGGGAACCAGGUUAAAGCAGUAGCCGCUAUUUGGAGCAUGUAAUACUAAGAAGGGCAGAGGGCUGAGGGGGCAGAGCCACUCCCUACAAGGGCAUUGCAUUUUUCUGCUGGGACAUAGCAUACUUCUCAUCCACUCACAUUCCAUUGGCAAAGAAAUUCCAAAGUCAGUUGGCGAGGAAAUUGAUUGCACCACAGGAAAACAUGACAAAGGUAGAGAGGAAUAAAGAACUGUGAACAAUCAAGUUUAUCACACCUGAGAGAUAGAAAACAUUAAAAUAAUAUGGCCAGUUAUACAUUUUUUAAGAAAAUAUUAUGAUUGUUAAACACGUAAUUCAGAAAGAAAACUCCUUCCGCUAGUGGUAGGUGGACCCAAUUUUACAGAGCCUGAAACCUAUGCAAUCUUUAUGAUCAUCUUUAGAAAAAUAUCGUCAAAUAGUGCUAAUAAAAAUUAGAGGGGUUUGAAGCUUAAAUUUAAUUAGCUUCAAGGUAAAUUUGAUUUUGCUUUUACUUUAAGUGAUGUAAGAACAACCUAACUUUAUUCAUUAAUAAAAUUUUGGUAAAAUAUAUAUACUUAACUUCAAAACUUGAAUUAGUACUGUUCUUUUAAAAUAAGAUACUGUAUUUUUUUAAAUAAAUAGAGAAUCAGUUAUUUGUUUGGACCUGAGAACAUGAUAAGAUAAUCUUCUGGCCUCUUGAGGUCACCUAGUUCACUUAAAAACUGCAAGGAAGGUAGGAAUCACUGGAAGUCCUUCUCUGAAGAAACCUAUCUAUUCAAAUUUUAUUUAUCUAAAGAAUCCAAAUUGGCUGCUAUUGUUAAAUAUAUGAUGACCUGCUUUGUGAUAGUAUUGUAAUGAGUAUGUUUAAUUUUGGAAAAAAUAUAUGCCACCUGCCCUUGGCUCCAGAGGAUGGCUGAUGUGUAGAUGCAAGAUUUUUCCUAAGAAUUAAUGCUUAUUUUUUCAGCUAACAUAAAAAAUAACUUAUUUCAUAUAUUUUCCAGACUUCUAGAUAUUAUUGUUGAGAAUAAUGGAGUAAAUUAUGGAUGAUGUGGUUUUAAAGCCAGAUGAGCUGACAGUAAACAGUAAAGAGGGUUAAAAUGUGGUGAGGCUCAUUCCUGUUAGGUCCAGAUCCAGUCCGUAGGAUAAGACAUGAGGAAACGUUGAAAGAUGGAGGCCAGAAAGAGCCUGCACCCCAAGUCUCUAUCAUUCUUCUCUUUACUUGGUGUGGUAGGCAGGAUAAUGGUUCACAAAGUAAUCCACACCCUAAUCCCCAGAACCUGUGACUAUGUUCCUUACAUGGCAAAGUUACUCUCUAAAUGUGAUUCGGGUUAUGGACUUUGAGAUGGGGAAAUUAUCCUGCAAUAUCCAGGUGGGUUUAAUCUAAUACUGCAAAUCCCUGAAAACAGAGUCCCUGUCCUGACUGUGGCCAGAGAUGACAGAAGAGUCAGUGAGAUUGGACCUGCUGAGCUGGCCUCCAGAAAAAACAGAGCCCUGCCGACACAUUGAUUUUUGUCUCGUAAGAUUCUUGCUGAACUUCUGACCUACAGAACUGUAAGUUAAUAAAUCUGUGUUGCUUCGAGCUACUACUUCUAUGGUAAUACACUUGGUGAAGCAGGGCAAUGAAUCACCCACUCUGCCGUGAUCCAACAGGCAUUCUUUUUUCAGCCCAGUUUAUCUCUUUCCAUUUCCUCAACUUGUGUUUGUGAAGUGACAUUUUAGGUUCUCUUAGUCUGAUUAUUCUGCGUGAGGUAAAGUGGCACAAUACUCUUUGACAAUCCUAUGAGUCACAUUCUCCAGUAUGAUCAAACUGUUUGUAGCGAAUCAGGGAAAUUAUUUUGGAAGUACUCUUAUUUUCUGUUGAUACAGUUUAACAAUUUUGUUUGUUCAUAUUGCUGAAACUGAGCAUAUAAUGUUAAGUUCUUCUAUGGUCUUUGAAAUGUGGACGUAUUUGAACUGUUAAACUGCAUUCUGAUUAAAUCCACUUAAACUUUGUUAUAAUGCAUGCCCAUGUUUUUAUUAUUGGCUGGACAGACUGCUGUGCAAAACAAGUAUCUGUCUAGCUCCGAAGGGGAUACUCAGGAAGAAACCGUAAGAAGAGCCCUUAAUUAAAAACAAAGGCAAGUCAUUUGGGGGAAGUUAGAAAAAGAUAUAGUCUCUGCAAAAGCAAGUGAUGGACUGAUUCCAAAACAUUGUUUAAAAUACUUUAGAAAUAGUUAUUAAUGUGGUGAGAAAAACAGUCACUUAAACUAUUAUGAAUGGGCUUUUUUGCACAUAAAAUAGGCUGGAAAUGGAUUCAAGCAGGAGUGAAAGUGUGAUAAAUAAAUAAACUAAAUCUACUGAGGAGGAAUAGAAGUCCUCCUGGAGAAAGACACUGUGGAAGAAUAAGGCCAUUUGCCAAAUAAUGGACCAGAAUGAUGAACUUCAUAUUAAUUGGCAUUGCAAAGUUAUUAUACAAUAUUUAGUAUACUUUAAUGCAUAUUCAUUUUUUCGACAUCAAAGGAUUUGAUAAUGUUGAGAAGAAUAUUUAGCAUUCUCAAAGAGCUUAAUUUCUGGAUCUCAGCUGUUCAUCACUGAACAAACAGGAUGUGAUACUAAUGGAGCAUUACCUUGCCCAGAAUAUUGACUAUUAAUAAUAUACAGUCAUUGAGAGGAAGCACUAGUUUAUGGACAUGAUUUAAAUACUAGAGAUUGGCAAAAGAGAAGGUUGUGUUCCUAAAGAUGUUUAUUCAUGUCAACCUUCUUUCCACUAUAACCCAAGUAGAAGCAGUAAGAAUAUAUUAUGAAUUUCCUCCUGAGAGAUAGCUAAGUGCACUGGACUUGAUGCCAGAACACCUGGGUUUCAGUCUCCAUUUCUAUGCUUCUGGCAAUGGGAACACUAAGAGGCCUCCCAGAGCCUGGUUUCUACCUGAUAAACACAGAUAAUAUUACCAAUUUUUGUCUGAUUUCCAAAAUGUAGUAACAUGAUAUACUGCAACAUGAAAGUGCUUUGUAAAUUUUAGAGAGUUGUAUACAUUAAGGUCCUUAUGUUAGGCUUUAAAAAAUAGUAUGUAAAUAAUUGAAAUACCACUUCAGCACAGAUCUAUAUUGUUCUAACUUUUGAUAGAAUUUUAUCAAAACUUAAUUUAAUUAUAGUUUCAUGCUAUGGUGCUUAUCAUCAACUUAGGUUAUGUGUGUUUACAGUGAUGUUCAUUGCACAUAAAUAUUUGGAAAAUAAAUAUUGCCUUCGCAGUUUUACCUA
Molecule: long non-coding RNA, 4153 nt
Organism: Sapajus apella (tufted capuchin)
Lineage: Eukaryota; Metazoa; Chordata; Mammalia; Primates; Cebidae
Exons: 2
Source: RefSeq, a predicted model, not a curated record